This 162-nucleotide ribosomal RNA is filed under the name Fagus sylvatica subsp. sylvatica. RNAcentral describes it as "5.8S ribosomal RNA". It matches the Rfam family "5.8S ribosomal RNA". From Rfam's summary of the family: 5.8S ribosomal RNA (5.8S rRNA) is a component of the large subunit of the eukaryotic ribosome. The record is from RNAcentral. Lineage: Eukaryota; Viridiplantae; Streptophyta; Magnoliopsida; Fagales; Fagaceae.
AAAACGACUCUCGGCAACGGAUAUCUCGGCUCGCGCAUCGACGAAGAACGUAGCGAAAUGCGAUACUUGGUGUGAAUUGCAGAAUCCCGUGAAUCAUCGAGUCUUUGAACGCAAGUUGCGCCCGACGCCAUUGGCCGAGGGCACGUCUGCCUGGGUGUCACG